GAUGAACGCUGGCGGCGUGCCUAAUACAUGCAAGUCGAGCGAACAGACGAGGAGCUUGCUCCUCUGACGUUAGCGGCGGACGGGUGAGUAACACGUGGAUAACCUACCUAUAAGACUGGGAUAACUUCGGGAAACCGGAGCUAAUACCGGAUAAUAUAUUGAACCGCAUGGUUCAAUAGUGAAAGACGGUUUUGCUGUCACUUAUAGAUUGAUCCGCGCCGCAUUAGCUAGUUGGUAAGGUAACGGCUUACCAAGGCAACGAUGCGUAGCCGACCUGAGAGGGUGAUCGGCCACACUGGAGCUGGGACACGGUCCAGACUCCUACGGGAGGCAGCAGUAGGGAAUCUUGCGCAAUGGGCGAAAGCCUGACGGAGCAACGCCGCGUGAGUGAUGAAGGUCUUCGGAUCGUAAAACUCUGUUAUUAGGGAAGAACAAAUGUGUAAGUAACUAUGCACGUCUUGACGGUACCUAAUCAGAAAGCCACGGCUAACUACGUG
RNAcentral lists this ribosomal RNA (497 nucleotides) under uncultured bacterium. RNAcentral describes it as "partial 16S ribosomal RNA". It matches the Rfam family "Bacterial small subunit ribosomal RNA", at positions 28 to 507 of the family's 1533-position model. The record is from RNAcentral.